UUAAUUAUUUUUGUUUGUUGUUGUUUACAGGAUAUGUUUGUAUGGAAGACCUCAUCAGAUAUAUUACACUCAAUGCCAAAGACUGGAGGUAGCAUUGGACCCAUUGAUACUGGAACCAUUAAAAGAGCAUUCACUGAUAGUAUUAAAGGAAUGAGAAGGAAAGUGAAGAGAACUAUAUCAAAUCGUUCCAAUAGAAGACCAUUCAUACCAUUGAGGUACUUAUAGAUAUACUGUAUAGAGAGAGACUAGUGACAUAUUAUGAUAUUAUUGUGGUACAUAUUGUAUUUAUAUUAUUAGUAAAAAUGUUGAUCAGUUAGACACAAUGGAUGAAUCAUUUACUGAUCUUGAUUCUACUCUCAAUACUUGUACACUAUCAGUAGCUCCUCCUUUUCCUCCUACUCCAAUGAGAGCUCCUCCCACUAAAA
Amphimedon queenslandica is the source of this 425-nucleotide long non-coding RNA. RefSeq lists it as uncharacterized. The record is from RefSeq and is a predicted model, not a curated record. The transcript has 3 exons. NCBI's taxonomy places the organism in Eukaryota, Metazoa, Porifera, Demospongiae, Haplosclerida, Niphatidae.